Jannaschia seosinensis is the source of this 117-nucleotide regulatory RNA element. It matches the Rfam family "ALIL pseudoknot". Lineage: Bacteria; Pseudomonadati; Pseudomonadota; Alphaproteobacteria; Rhodobacterales; Roseobacteraceae. The record is from Rfam.
AGCGUAUUUUGCGAUGGCGGAGCUCGACCGCCGGUCGAAGUGAUGGUCAAGUUCAUCGACGACCACCGAGGUGAACACGGGGUCGAGCCGAUCUGCGAUGUGCUGCCGAUCGCCCCG